Molecule: ribosomal RNA, 216 nt
Filed under: Glomeromycotina sp.
Lineage: Eukaryota; Fungi; Glomeromycota
Description: partial small subunit ribosomal RNA
Rfam family: Eukaryotic small subunit ribosomal RNA (bases 40-216)
Source: RNAcentral
GGGUCAGUAGGUUGGUCGUGCCACCGGUACGUACUGGUCUCACUGAUUCCUCCUUCCUGAAGAACCGUAAUGCCAUAAAUUUGGUGUUGCGGGGAAACAGGACUGUUACUUUGAAAAAAUUAGAGUGUUUAAAGCAAGCUAACGCUUGAAUACAUUAGCAUGGAAUAAUGAAAUAGGACGAUCGAUCCUAUUUUGUUGGUUUCUAGGAUUGACGUG